This 250-nucleotide ribosomal RNA is filed under the name uncultured bacterium. Its description in RNAcentral is "partial 16S ribosomal RNA". It matches the Rfam family "Bacterial small subunit ribosomal RNA", at positions 15 to 253 of the family's 1533-position model. The record is from RNAcentral.
GAUCCUGGCUCAGGGUGAACGCUAGCGACAGGCCUAACACAUGCAAGUCGAGGGGCAGCGGGGAGGUAGCAAUACCUUUGCCGGCGACCGGCGCACGGGUGAGUAACACGUAUGCAAUCCACCUGUAACAGGGGGAUAACCCGGAGAAAUCCGGACUAAUACCCCAUAAUAUGGGCGCUCCGCAUGGAGAACCCCAUUAAAGAGAGCAAUUUUGGUUACAGACGAGCAUGCGCUCCAUUAGCCAGUUGGG